Molecule: non-coding RNA, 917 nt
Organism: Rattus norvegicus (Norway rat)
Lineage: Eukaryota; Metazoa; Chordata; Mammalia; Rodentia; Muridae
Source: RefSeq, a predicted model, not a curated record
AUUAAUUCCUAGGGCUGGAACCCUAUUAAUGUUCUACAGAAUUACAGGGCAGGCUGGAUGAAGACUCUCAGCUGACAAUGUGGACAUCUCAAGACAGGCACUGGACAAUGGCUGACAGACUUGUAUGAAGACUGGAAAUGUUUUGCUAUCUCAGAGGAAAAGAAGGCCCCUCCGACUACACUGUACUCUAAGGACAGUUUAUUCAGGUGCUUCCUACACAAGAAGUCACAUGACCACAGAGUGUCAUUUGUCAAAGAACCAAGAACUUGUUCAAAACUCUACAGAGCAUCCAAUCUAUCACGUGGAUAUGCAAUAAUGAGGUAUGUUAUUAAUCUGUCACCAUUUCUAGACUGCAGCUUCAAAAAGAGCAGACAAAUAUACUUGCAAAAUAAUUCAGUUUCUGAAAAGUGGUUGGCUUCCCAGAAUACUUGUGCAUAGGCAGAGCAAUGAACAAUUCCAUUACAUGAGGUGGUUGGCUGGUUGUGAGUGUAAAUUAGAAAGGUGGUAGGAGAGAGCAAAGAUGUAUCAAAUUGGCAAACUUUAGCAGAUAUUUUUAAGCUAACACAGCUGCUCAACCCUACCAGAUGAUGCUGGGUCUGGACGUUGCUGGUCUUUAUCUUUCUUGUUGAAGUCAACCAAAUAUUUCUGGUUCAGUGCACAAUCAAGAUGUACCUCCUUGCUCUCCUGCUUCAGUGGGAACAACUUCUUCCUACAUGUGUUCUCCAUCAGGAGCUGGCUGAGCAGGUUUCUGGAAAUACAGUCUGCAUAGUAAGACCAUGCUGCCCCUUUCUCCCAUUCCCACUCCCGAGUGCCACUAACUCCACCAGGACCCAGAUACCCAUGAAGACUUAAUAGAAUUCAUUUCGAUACAUAUAAGGCUGCUGCACAAACCACAAAGAGUAAAUUCCGGGAAGAAU